GGGGAUUUAGCUCAGUGGUAGAGCGCUUGCCUAGCAAGCGCAAGGCUCUGGGUUCGGUCCCCAGCUCCG
Molecule: non-coding RNA, 69 nt
Organism: Rattus norvegicus (Norway rat)
Lineage: Eukaryota; Metazoa; Chordata; Mammalia; Rodentia; Muridae
Source: Rfam